UUGGAGGGCAAGUCUGGUGCCAGCAGCCGCGGUAAUUCCAGCUCCAAUAGCGUAUAUUAAAGUUGUUGCAGUUAAAAAGCUCGUAGUUGAAUUUCGGGAUUGACACAUCGGUCGUGCCUUAAGGGGCAUGAACUGGUGUAGUCAAUUUCUCACCUUCUGGAGAACCGCGAUGUCCUUAGUUGGGUGCCGCGAGGAACCAGGACCUUUACUUUGAAAAAAUUAGAGUGUUUAAAGCAGGCAUUUUGCUUGAAUACAUUAGCAUGGAAUAAUAAAAUAGGACGGCAUGAUUCUAUUUUGUUGGUUUCUAGGAUCACCGUAAUGAUUAAUAGGGAUAGUUGGGGGCAUUAGUAUUCAAUUGUCAGAGGUGAAAUUCUUGGAUUUAUUGAAGACUAACUACUGCGAAAGCAUUUGCCAAGGAUGUUUUCAUUAAUCAAGAACGAAAGUUAGGGGAUCGAAGACGAUCAGAUACCGUCGUAGUCUUAACCAUAAACUAUGCCGACUAGGAAUCAGACGAUGUUAAUUUUUUAAUGACUCGUUUGGCACCUUACGGGAAAC
Molecule: ribosomal RNA, 555 nt
Filed under: uncultured Glomus
Lineage: Eukaryota; Fungi; Glomeromycota; Glomeromycetes; Glomerales; Glomeraceae
Description: SSU rRNA
Rfam family: Eukaryotic small subunit ribosomal RNA
Source: RNAcentral